This 206-nucleotide ribosomal RNA is filed under the name Staphylococcus aureus. RNAcentral describes it as "partial 23S ribosomal RNA". It matches the Rfam family "Bacterial large subunit ribosomal RNA", at positions 1688 to 1893 of the family's 2925-position model. Lineage: Bacteria; Bacillati; Bacillota; Bacilli; Caryophanales; Staphylococcaceae. The record is from RNAcentral.
GAGUGAGCGAACUCUCGUUAAGGAACUCGGCAAAAUGACCCCGUAACUUCGGGAGAAGGGGUGCUCUUUAGGGUUAACACCCAGAAGAGCCGCAGUGAAUAGGCCCAAGCGACUGUUUAUCAAAAACACAGGUCUCUGCUAAACCGUAAGGUGAUGUAUAGGGGCUGACGCCUGCCCGGUGCUGGAAGGUUAAGAGGAGUGGUUAG